UGGAUAUGAUGAUUGAUUACCUGAGAAAUAAUUGAUGAAAUAUCAAGAAAAAAAAUAUUCUAA
This 63-nucleotide small nucleolar RNA is filed under the name Marmota marmota marmota (Alpine marmot). RNAcentral describes it as "Small nucleolar RNA SNORD20 (ENSMMMG00000008513.1)". It matches the Rfam family "Small nucleolar RNA SNORD20". From Rfam's summary of the family: U20 is a C/D box small nucleolar RNA that is encoded in intron 11 of the nucleolin gene in human, mouse and rat. Lineage: Eukaryota; Metazoa; Chordata; Mammalia; Rodentia; Sciuridae. The record is from Rfam by way of RNAcentral. RNAcentral also lists the same sequence under 1 other name.